CUUCUACAAACCUUUGUAGUAGUGGAUCCUUCAGGUAAUUCGUGUAUUGGUCCGUUCAGCGUAUCUGAACUACUUCUAGAUCAAGAUUGGUAUUUCAAAGGCCUUAUGGUUCCCUGAAUUAAACAAUAUAAACUAGAGCUUGCAUGGAGUAAUUUUAAGUUGGCUAUUGUACUGCCGCUACCUAUAUUUUGAUGAUAAUCGGAAAGAGAUGAAUUGUUGAUGUUUUGUUUCGCGUGCACGAGUUGGCUAACUAACUGAACUGUAUCCAUGUGAGAUUUUUGAAACUCUCUGAAUUUUGAUGUGGUUGAUUUCGGUGCAGGUGUGAUUUAUUUUUUUUCGGUUCCUUUUUGCUGAAUUUCUGAUGGUUAGUAUUGAAUUGAUUGUAUUGAAUCCUUUAGCUGGUGAUUUUAGAUGCUGAUGAUUGUAAACUCAAAGAUGAACCUGAACGGAUGAACCUGGCCUGAUGCAAAACUGAACCUGGGAAAACUGAACUUGACAAGAUGCAAAACAAACCUAAUGGUUAGUUAGUUCCUCAUUGUAAAAGCAAUUUAUACCUGCACCACGGCCAGUUAAAUCAGAACACAUGCCUACACGUUUCCUGUUUCCCGAAUGAUAUUAAUUUUGUCUUGCAAACCUGUACCACAACGGGUUUUUUCUAGGGAUGUACCAUAGCAGGCUAGUCACCUGACAAGCGGGAAUGAAAUAUACUGACAGAUGGCAGAUCAUACAUGACGUAUACUUAGCAAAUAAACCCCAGAAAUCAGGCAUAACUUCUUUAAACGUCGGAACCUGUCAAAUAACUUUUUUUUGCGGGUUACCUGUCAAAUAACUUACUGUAUGCUUAUCGUCCUUGCUUUUCCAAAUCUUACCAUUAAUAUGUUAACAUAUUUUUCUUCUAAUGUUUCCUGAUAUCCUUCUUCGCCAAGGUAGUACAAUCAUGCCCGCAACUCCGGAGUAUGAGAAAAAAAGGUUGGCAAGCAUUUAGAAGCGCAAGGCUGAGGAGGCAGGGCCUCUUGCAAACAUAUGGAACAUAUCUAGUCAAUUGCUAUACGGUCUGAAUGCAAAAGACAAAGAGAGGCGCAAAGGUGAUGAUGUUGGCAUUGGCUCCGACUAUUAGCCAAAUGAUGAUGAGGAGGCUGAUGAUGCCGAUGAGGCUUCUGGAGAAGAAGAGGAGCAGGAGCCAACUCUACAUAUGUCAAAGGAAAAGAGUGAGGCCUCUUGACCCUGUCAGCCAAGAUUUCUUCUCAAUGUGGUGUACAUGUCCGCAGCAACAUCAUGCAUGUUGCUACACAUUGGAAUGAUUAUAGCAAAGAAGGCCUAGACCAUCUUAUUCCUAAAGCUAUUGGUCAUGUUGCGAAAAACUUUGAAAUGGAUCCAAAAGAGAAGGUGACCAGGGGCGUAUGCACAAAGAUACUCCAGAAGGGUGUUCGACAACAACGAUAUAUAUUGAAGAGGAUUAUUUUACAGGUCGUAUCUGUGAAGAAGCAUUAUCUCGUAAGCCACCCAAAGUUGGUCAACAAAAUUGGGAAGCGCUUGUUAACAAAUGGUCAGAUGAAAGAAACAAGGAGAUGUUUGCCAAGAACAAGAAGAACCGAGAAGCUGUGAAGCAUCACCAAACUACAUGUUCUAGGUCUUAUCGUUCUCAUUUCCACCAACUCAUAAGUAUACUACGCAUUUUCUCCGUUGUUUUUCUACAGUUGGCUACUGCACAUUUUGGCAACUUUCAUAUUUUGAAUACUAAUUAUAUGAAUUCCUACAUCUUGUAGAAAAAACACAAGUACAACAAUGAGGAACCUAGUCCCAUUGAGUUUUUCAGAGAAACCCAUACCAAUAGGAAGACGGGAAGCCCUUGAAGCUUAUACUGAUAUGGAAACGAAAAGGAGUGAAGUAGAAAGAGAAGAUGACCAACCAGUGUCUGGUAGACAUAUUGUGGCGGAAGUUCUCAAAGAGCACAGCUCCUCAAGCACCUUCCUUUCAACCAUUGGGUACCAAUCAAGAUCUAGGAGGUCUAGGACAUCAGCUUCUAAAGAACACGUCUGACAAUUAGAAGAAAACAUUGAACAACAGAAGAGAGGCAGUAUAUGCAACUACGAUGUACCAACAACAGUUAAUCGAGAGAGGUAAAACGCAAGAGGCUGCACUUGAACAGAUGCAAAUGAAGCAACAAGAAGAAUUGACGGUCAUGAAAAAGAGCCAAGAAGAAAAGAAUAAAACAUAUGAAAAAAGCAAGAGGAACAAGCGGCCUUAUUAGCUUCCUCUUACGGAAGCAUGCUACCCAGAACUAGACAAAUUACAUGACACGGAAACCAAAAUUAGAUGGUGCUAUUCUACCAUCAAUUUAGUUUCCUCUUUCUUAGUUAUGUCAAUUUUAUAGUGCUUAACUUAUUUAGUUAUGUAAGACAAUAUUUGGCUGUGAGGUUAUAUUUACUUGAGCUAGAUAUAUAUUGUGAUUUUAAUGGCA
Lolium perenne is the source of this 2461-nucleotide long non-coding RNA. RefSeq lists it as uncharacterized. The record is from RefSeq and is a predicted model, not a curated record. Lineage: Eukaryota; Viridiplantae; Streptophyta; Magnoliopsida; Poales; Poaceae.